Non-coding RNA from Macaca mulatta (Rhesus monkey), 1060 nucleotides. The record is from RefSeq and is a predicted model, not a curated record. NCBI's taxonomy places the organism in Eukaryota, Metazoa, Chordata, Mammalia, Primates, Cercopithecidae.
GCUCAUCUGUUGAAAAUAAAAUGUAGGGAAGGACAUGUUUAAUUUUCUGUCUCUGCUCUCAACUUUGAUUCUGUCCUACUCAAGGGUUCUAUAUGACAAGACAAAGAUACAAAAAGAUUCUCUACUUUUAAGGAGCUUAUUCUCUUAGUUACCAAGCAGGAACUUAUAGGAAAGUUGAAUUUUGAUUUAGUCAUACUAUCUAGGGCAGGGGUCUGCAAACCUUUUCUGUAAAGGGUCAGAUAGUAUUUUAGACUUUUUAGACCAUACUGUCUCUAUCACAACUACAGAGCUCUUCUGUUGUAGCAGAAAGGCAGCCAUAGAUAAUAUAGAAAGAAAUGGGUGUGGCUGUGUUCCAAUAAAGCUUUAUUUACAAAGAAGACAGUGGGCCGGGUUUGGCCCGGGGCAUAAUUUGCUGCUUGUGCUAGGGUAAGAUUAGCCAAAGUCUCCUGAUAGCAGGAAGGUGACUAGAGUUUCAAAGAGUCAGACUGUGGACUUUGCUGAGGUGCACUAUGUAAUAUUUCAAGAAAGGAAGUACAAGGGCAGGAAAAUAGUGAGUUUUCAGGGUGUUUGGUGAGCUCUGUCACAAUAUUUGUUGAAUAAAUGAAUGAAUGACUGAUACUCAAAUCUUAUUGCACAUAUAUAAGCAUUUCACUGAGAAAAUACUAAUGUUUUGUCUGGAUUAGUCCCAACCUGUUUGACCUUGACCACAGCUUCCUUGAUAGUGAAAUGAGGAUUCCAUCACUCUUAAUUAUCCGUGGCUAAAGUCAACCAAUUAUCCAGAACUUCCAUCUAGUGAAUCAUUUUAACUCUUCCAUUGCUGAAACUUUUACCAGAGUUGUGAUUCAAGAUGAGAAAACUGAGGCCCAGAAAAGUUGAGCAACUUGCCUGAGGUUACACAGAUACUGAGUGGCAGAGCUGAUAUUUGAACCUAUACAUUAUGUCUCCUUAGCCUAUAUCCUUAACCACUGGAUUAUCCAAAACACUAUGCCAGUAUUUCAGUCAGUUAAGUAUAUACUGAAUGUUCUUUACAUUGUGCUAGAAAUACAGAUAUAUGUCAUCA